RNAcentral lists this ribosomal RNA (459 nucleotides) under uncultured bacterium. Its description in RNAcentral is "bacterial SSU rRNA". It matches the Rfam family "Bacterial small subunit ribosomal RNA", at positions 340 to 786 of the family's 1533-position model. The record is from RNAcentral.
UACGGAAGGCAGCAGUGGGGAAUAUUGCACAAUGGGCGAAAGCCUGAUGCAGCUAUGCCGCGUGUAUGAAGAAGGCCUUAGGGUUGUAAAGUACUUUCAUCGGGGAGGAAAAAACAAAACUAAUAAUUUUAUUUCUUGACGUUACCCGAAAAAGAAGCACCGGCUAACUCCGUGCCAGCAGCCGCGGUAAUACGGAGGGUGCUAGCGUUAAUCAGAAUUACUGGGCGUAAAGAGCACGUAGGUGGUUUUUUUAAAGUCAGAUGUGAAAUCCCUGGGCUUAACCUAGGAAUUUGCAUUUUGAAACUGAAAUACUAGAGUAUCGUAGAGGGAGGUAGAAUUCUAGGUGUAGCGGUGAAAUGCGUAGAUAUCUGGAGGAAUACCUGUGGCGAAAGCGGCCUCCUAAACGAAUACUGACACUGAGGGUGCGAAAGCGUGGGGAGCAAACAGGGAUUAGAUACC